RNAcentral lists this ribosomal RNA (520 nucleotides) under Parapucaya amazonica. RNAcentral describes it as "partial 16S ribosomal RNA". It matches the Rfam family "Bacterial large subunit ribosomal RNA", at positions 1830 to 2610 of the family's 2925-position model. The record is from RNAcentral. Lineage: Eukaryota; Metazoa; Arthropoda; Insecta; Coleoptera; Scarabaeidae.
GCCGUAUUUUUUAUAAUUUAAAGUCUAACCUGCCAAAUGAGGUAUUUAAUGGCCGCGGUAAUUUGACCGUGCAAAGGUAGCAUAAUCAUUAGUUUUUUAAUUGAAAGCUGGAAUGAACGGUUGGACGAGAAAAUAACUGUCUCAAUUUAAUUUAAUUAGAAUUUUUUUUUUAAGUAAAAAAGCUUACAUAAUUUUAAAAGACGAGAAGACCCUAUAGAAUUUUAUACAAAAAUAUAUUUAUUAUUUUUAGAAUUUUUAUUAGUUUAUGUAUUAUGUAUUUUGUUGGGGUGACAGAAAAAUUUAAUAAACUUUUUUUUUAUCAAUCCAUUAAUUUAUGAAUUAUUGAUCCAUUUUUUAUGAUUAUAAGAUUAAAUUACCUUAGGGAUAACAGCGUAAUUUUUUUUUAGAGUUCUAAUCAAAAAAAGAGUUUGCGACCUCGAUGUUGGAUUAAAAUAAACUUUUGGUGUAGGGGCUAAAAAGUUGUGUGUGUUACCCUUUAAAAUUUUCACAAGAUCUGAGU